Zalophus californianus (California sea lion) is the source of this 2891-nucleotide RNA transcript. It is a transcript of the gene named ankyrin repeat and sterile alpha motif domain containing 3, with no coding region annotated. Lineage: Eukaryota; Metazoa; Chordata; Mammalia; Carnivora; Otariidae. The transcript has 18 exons. The record is from RefSeq and is a predicted model, not a curated record.
AUUGCCCGGCGGCGCCGGGAGCUGCCCCGCUGCCCGGCGAGCGUCCCGGCGUGCUCCGCGCCUCCCGCAACCACUUCCGGGGCGGGAGCGGGGCCGCGGGGUCCGGGCGCUGCGGCGGCAGUCCGCGCGGAGGGAGUCCGGGCGAGCUUGGCGGAGAACGGGCCGGCUUGAGGGAGUGCGGCGGCGGCUGCCCGGGGCCCAGCGCAGUGAUGUCGGAGCUCAGCGAUGAAGCUAGUGAGCCAGAACUGAACCGCAGCUUGUCCAUGUGGCAUGGGCUGGGUGCUCAGGUCAGCCGGGAAGAGCUGGCCGUCCCCUUGGAUCUUCACACAGCUGCUUCCAUCGGCCAGGAUGAAGUGGUGAAGGAAUGUGUGCAGCGGAGAGAGUUAGAUUUGAAUAAGAAGAAUGGUGGUGGCUGGACCCCGCUGAUGUAUGCCUCGUACAUCGGACACGAUACCAUCGUGCACCUGCUGCUCGAGGCAGGGGUGAGCGUGAACGUGCCGACCCCGGAAGGGCAGACUCCGCUGAUGCUGGCUUCCAGCUGUGGCAAUGAGAGCAUCGCCUACUUUCUCCUCCAGCAAGGUGCCGAGCUGGAAAUGAGGGACAUUCAGGGCUGGACUGCUCUCUUCCACUGCACCAGCGCUGGGCACCAGCAGAUGGUCAAGUUCCUCUUGGACAGUGGAGCGAAUGCCAACGUGAGGGAGCCGGUAUAUGGAUUUACUCCUUUGAUGGAAGCAGCUGCCGCUGGCCAUGAAAUAAUUGUGCAGUAUUUUCUCAAUCAUGGAGUCAGAGUGGACACAAGAGACCACAGUGGAGCCACAGCCCGGAUGCUGGCCAAGCAGUAUGGACACAUGAAGAUCGUGGGGUUGAUAGACGCUCACUCGCCUUCUCUGCCCAAGAACCUCUAUCGGAGCCCAGACAAAUUUGAAGAUCUAAGCUCUUCAGAUGAAUCCUGCCCUGUUCCCCAGAGACAGAGGCCCUGUCGGAAGAAGGGCCUCAGCAUCCAUGAGGGGCCUCGAGCCUUGGCAAGGAUCACAGCCAUCGGACUUGGAGGCAAGAUGCAGCGGCCUUGCUGUGAGCAGGUGCCUCUGCCGGGCUACGUCACCUUCAACAGCAGUGAUGAGAACCCUCUGGAAGGGGGGGGCCUCUGCUACAGGGAUGUCACCUCCCCGAUCAAUGAGCGGGAUGUGGAGAGCAGCAGCGGCAGCAGUCGGGAAGAGCACGCCUUCGGCACCAACCUGGGGGUCGGGAGGUGCAGCAGCAGCAGUGAGGGCCUGACAAGAGCCCCGGGAGUCAGCAGUGAGGCCUCUCUGGAGAGCAACGAGGAUUCAGAUCAUGCCUGUAAAAGUUCGGUUCGCAAGCAAACUAAAAGUUAUAUGAAGACCAAGAAUCGUUAUAGCAACAGCGAGAGCCAGUGGCCUCCCAGCACUGGGACUUCGGGGGCAGCCUCUUCCCCAGGAUCGAUGCCCCAGACCGAGAGGUCCCGCCAUUCAGGACCUCAGGACCUCGCCGCGCUGCUGGAGCAGAUUGGGUGUCUGAAGUACCUGCAGGUGUUCGAGGAGCAGGACGUGGACCUCCGCAUCUUCCUGACCCUCACUGAGAGCGACCUGAAGGAAAUUGGCAUCACGCUGUUUGGGCCAAAGAGGAAGAUGACCUCGGCCAUUGCUCGAUGGCACAGCAGCGCCCGUCCCCCCAGCGAUGCCCUGGAGCUGGCCUAUGCUGACCGGCUCGAAGCCGAGAUGCAGGAGCUUGCCAUCCAGCUGCACAAACGCUGUGAGGAGGUGGAGGCCAUGCGAGGCCAGGUGUCGCAGGAGCAGGGGCUACGCGCCGUGCUGGAGAGCUGCCUCCUGGAGCAGGACGGCGCCCGGAAGGACGUGCACGCCCAGCUGCAGGAGACCCGGGCCCUCGCCCGGGACGCUGCUCUCAUCCUGGACCAGCUGCGAGCCUGUCAAGCUGAGCUGUCAGCCAGAGUGAAGCAGGAGGUGUCUACCCGAGGGUCCCCCCUGGGCACAGCCCUCCCCACAGCUGACUCCAACGGCUGGCCAGCCUCCCUGCAGGCCCUGAGCCUCCCUGAGCUGUCAGGAGCAUUGGAGGAUCGAGUCCAGGAAAUGGGGCGAGUGCUAUGCUCAGUGACCCAGAGCUUGGAGAAGCUGCAAGUGCUGAACGGGAAGGAGAACUGGCGGGAGCCUUAGCUGGGAGGGACGUCUUCCCUUUCCCUUCUCAGAAUCCGACGUUGGGUGACUGAUCCACCCUGAAGCUGUGUGCCUGGAAGACAGGAGCGCGGAGAGCAAGCGGCUGCAGCGGGCCAGAGGAUCAGGCCCCCGGAGCAGCAAGCAGGACAGGGCUGGAGCCGGGGCGAGGAGCGAGGCCCACACCAAGGCAGGACGAGGGCCUCUAGGCCAGAACCUGGGGCUCCAGCUUGGCCUCAUGGCCCCAACUAACCUUAGGGACCAAGACCCAGUGGGGUAAAGGGGCUUCAAAGCCUCAUUCCCAGUUCACACACCAUAGAAAAAAUUAAGGCUAACCACCACCAAAAGUGAGCCAGCUCUUCUCUCAGCCCUGAGGCCGGCUGGUGACAGGACUCAAGGCAUGCUCCACAAGAAUAAAACUGACUUCUCGAUGGUCUUUGUGUGUCUACCUACCCACCUGAAUGAAUGGGGGAUACCUCCACCCACCCGAGUCGCAUGUGGAGAGUUUGCAUCUUGGGGUAGGAGAAAAUGUCCUGAGCCUGGAAAGCCAGGCCACCUACUGAGCAGGGCGGGCUCCCAGUAACCCAGCCACCACCCAGUAGCUGCUCAGGGUAGCGGAGAGGAGUUGUGAACACACACAGGAGGAGAUAGUCUCCUAGGAGUUCAGGGCACAGAACCAGGGGAGGGUAAGAGACAUGCCGCAAA